AUGGUGGCAUGGCCUAGCCAGAAGAGAGAUGUGGAUAGAUUUGAGCACUAAUGUCAGAGACAAAACUGAAAGGACUUGGGGGAUGUGGUGGAUUAGCAAUGAGCAGCAGCCAGGAAGACAUCCAGAUUUCUGGCUUGAGCACCUGAGUGGAUGGUGGUGCCAUUUACUGAAAUGAGAAAAACGGGGGGAAGAGCAGGUUUGUGGUGGGAGAAGUGGGAAUUGUGAUGAGUUCUGUGUGUAUGUGGUGAGUGUGAAGUACAGAGUGGAGAUGUCCAUAUGGGUACACUGGUCUGCAGUUCUAGGCUAGAGAUAACUGAUUUGGGGGUUAUCAGUAUGUGGUAGUAAAUAGAGCUGCAGACGAUGGCAGGAACCAUGACAGGAAUAGAGAAGGAGAUAGCAUGAAAUCACUACCAGAUGGGGCUGGCAUAACUUAACAAUGGCAUUUACAGAGUGUUCACCACAUGUCAAGCACCAUGAUAAGCAUUUCACUUGCAUUAUCUCAAUCCUCAUACAGCCCUGUAAGUAGGCGCAUUAUACAGAUGGGGAACAUGCCCAGUGUAACAGCUUGGAAACAGCAAAACUGAGGUUUGAACCCAAGUCUCUUAAACACUGUGGUAUACUACCUUAAUCUUCUAGGACAUCAGGGUAGUUUCCUCCUCCUUGGUGGGUCUUGGUGGAUCCCCCCUGCAGGGGCUCUAAGUCCUAGAUGUGCCUCAUGCCUCGUUAGCAGCCUGAACCCAACCAAUUUGGGGGGUUAGGGAAAAGGAUCAGGGGUUGGAAUAAGGAUGCAAACCAAUCCAGUACUUCCCACUCCUGACUUCUCUUCUCGGGCCAAUCUCCUCCACACAGGGUGGAAGUUAUCAACUGGCUAUGCAGCUGAGGAAAGGAAGAUCAGCACUUGGUAUUUUCUUAGGAGGAAGCAAUUGUGAGGAACUGAAAAGAGACCAGUGGGCUGGAACAUGGUGAGAGAAGAAUGGCCUGAGAAGGAGAUUGGAGAUGUGGGCAGGGGUUUACAACAUAGAGAGUCUCUGGCAAUUUGGCUUUUAUUGGCACUGCAAUGGGAAGCCACUGAAGGGUUUUUAGCAGAGGACUGAUAGAAUCUGAUUCAUGUUUCAAAAAGAUCCCCCUAGCUGCUGUGUGGAGAAAGGAUCAUUGGGGAACAAGAGUGGAAACUGAUAAAUCAGCUAGGAGGCUGAUAAUUUUGUUGGUUGAAUUUACACAGGCUUAGCAGAUCACCCCAGAGGAGCCAGGAAAAGAGUUUAAAGUGGAGCAUAGGAAUAAAUGUGAACCCCCAUCCUCUUGCUUCCCCUACAGUCCCUUUACAGCUGGAAUAGGAGAGAUGACACACACUUGGAGAGCUAUCAUCUCCCUCCUGAGCAGUGGUGGACAGAAAUGACUACUUGUUUCCCUCUGACCGCAUCAAGCUCCCUGGCCAGGCUUGUCUUACUGAUUGGGGUUGAAGGACCCUCUCUCUGUCCUUUUUGAAUACACUUUCAGAUUAUCUUCCCACAAGUCCUGUCAUGCUGCUCUGGAAGCCUUUAUGGCCCCCUACUAUCUGCAAAAUUAAGUCCAGAUUCCUUGCUCUAUCAUUCAAGAGCCUCUAUGACCUCACUGCAGAGUGAGCAACUUGAGGACUCACAAGGACUCACCUCUGCAUCACCACCAUCUCGCACAGAACAUGGCCACAGUCUCUUGAUGUCUGAAAAAUUAGGCCCAGCCUGGAAACAUGAGCCACUGGCAAGCACCUAGUUCACUCAUAAGGAGACCGAGGGAGACCCCAAGCGCACCCCACACCUGGCUGACCAGGCCCCUGGCGCUGCAGAGGAGGCAGACACGGCUGGAAGGGACAGGAUUUAUGUUGCAUACUUGAACUACAGCGAGUGUAAGACUGGUCCUAUUUACAGGGCAGAAACACUAGAGGCAGGGCACAGGGGCGGCAGAGUGAGCACCAGAGUCCUGGCCCGUGCCCCUGCUCGCCACCUUCCCUGCCUCUCCCAGAGGCAUCUCUGCGGCCCCGCUGGGGUUCUCCAGGGUGGGGGAACGGGACUGCUCACAUGAUGCUUGCCGGGGUGAAGACGGGGCCCACGCACAAGGUGUCUGUGAUCUCCCGGCCGCAGGACAGAGGCUUGCACACGUCCUCAGCGUCCUCAUCCUGCUCUGCAGGCAGCAGCUGCCCUUGCAGUGCUUCCCUGGAGGCAAGACAGAGGUCAUGGGGGCAGCCGGGGUGGGCCCUGCACCUACAGACCCGGGCCCUCUCCUAGAGCCCUGGAGACCAGCCGAGGGCAGGGCCAGGGCCUGCUGACCCCUCCUCCCCCACUGCUCUCUUCUCCCCAUAGUGCACCCUGCUCCCAAAGGGAAGGGAACCCACCUUUAUUGAAUGCCUGCACUUGAUUAACAUUACCUAAUCUUAUCCUCCCCAGCACCCUGAGAGGAAAUUGAGACUCAGAGAAAAGUGACCAGCCCCAAGGUCACAUACCUAGAAGGUGGCAGAACUGAGAUUGAACCCAACUCUCACUCCAAAGCCCAUGCUUCAUACCACAGGCUUAGGACAUGAAAAAAAAAAAAAUCUCCUGUCCACCCUCCCCAGAUUCCACAAACUGUUUCUUCUCCUAUGUACCCAGAUUGAUAACUGGCUCCACUGUGUGUUCAGCUGCUCCAGCCACAGAUGGGGAAGCUUGUUCCCACACCCUGACUGCUGAGCCCAGCUGCACAGCAUCUUUCACAUGUACUCUCGCUUCUUUCUUUUCCCACUGCCACCACCAUUUCUGGCCAGAUCACAUGGUCCUCCCCUCCAGACAAUUCUCUGGACCGUACUAUGCCAUGGUCUCUUUCCAAGAAGCAAAUCCCAGCUCUGCAACUGCCGCCAGCAGCUUCCCUUCGCUCUCUGGCCCUGCGGGAUCUGGCCCCUGCCCGCCUCUCCUGCCUCAGCCAGGGCCCCACGUGUUGACACCUCGCUCCCCAGAGUGAUCCCUGAUGCCAUGCUUCACAUUCUCAUGCCCAUCCCAUCCUGGUCCUUGGCACGUGCUCAUCCCUCUGCCUGCAUCAUCAUCCCUCACCUGGCUCAUUCCUUCUCAGCCUUCCAGGUCACAGCUUCAACAAUUUAAUCUCAGAAGCCUUCCAAAGACCCACAGCAUAGUGGGCUGCUUCUUGAUAACAAUAAGGACUCAAUAUCUGCUCAGCAGAUAGUCCUCAACCACAGCAGGGCAGAGAAUAGAUCUGAGGUAUUCACUGCCUAUUGCCCCCAAAGCAGCCUAGCCCACAAUAGGCACUCAGUGGGAAAGGAAGGACAGAGAUGGGGUAGGGUGGGAGUGUUUCCAUGGGAAGGUGGGGAUAAAGCCCUGGAUUCAGAGUCAAGGGACCUAGAUGGGCACACUGCUUGCCCUUUACUUCUGGGAUCUGCUGCUCACAAGACCCUCCUUCCAUGCAGGUCCUCCCCUCCCUCCUCUCUCAUUCCCAGGCCCAUCCCAGCCCCUCUGCCUACAGGAAGUCCUCCUUUGCCUGUGGAUACAAUUCAACAGCAAAUCACUGUCUUUAUACUGAGCCCAGGUAGGCUGUUUCCUUCCAGGUGGAGGCUCUCAGGACGAAGCACCCUUGUGUCUGAGUUUCUGUCUCCUUAUCUUUAAAAAUGGGCUGGAUGGGGUUGCCAUAAUGUCCUGCAACUUGGUUACUGGAUAUAUACUUGCAAGAACUGAAAAGAGGGACAUGAAUGGACAUUUGCACAGUGGGGUUUAUGGUGGUAGUGUUCACGAUUUGCAGUGGGUGAAGGUGGCCUUAAGGGUACAUCAGCUGAUGAAUGGAAUGGAACUGUGGUAUAUACAAAUAGUGGAGUAUUGAGGUGCUUCAAGAAGGAGUGAAGUUGUGAGGUGUAUGGACAUUGAGGACAGUAUAUUGAGUGAAAUAAAACAGAAAUGAAAAGCACUGUAAUGUCUCACUGGUUUGGACUAACUAUAGUGUGCAAGCUCUGAGGAUUGAGUCUGGGAGCAUGGGUUGUUUGGGGAAGGCUUAUUGUAGAGGUUCCUGAACUGUGAACUCUUAACAGCAGUUACAUCUAUUUCUGAGUUGUGAUGGUUAUUUCUAAAUUCUGAGAUGCUGAGCUGUUUGUGUAUAACCAAUUAGUCCCUGGAACUUUGGGUAUCUGUGUGACACC
This is a long non-coding RNA of Choloepus didactylus (southern two-toed sloth), 4147 nucleotides long. RefSeq lists it as uncharacterized. The record is from RefSeq and is a predicted model, not a curated record. NCBI's taxonomy places the organism in Eukaryota, Metazoa, Chordata, Mammalia, Pilosa, Megalonychidae. The transcript is spliced from 3 exons.